GGCAACGUGGCCGAGCGGUUAAGGCGCUGUGUUCAGGAUCUUCGCAGUUCGAAAGAGCGCGCGUUCGAAUCGCGCCGUUGUCA
Talaromyces islandicus is the source of this 83-nucleotide non-coding RNA. The record is from the annotation of a GenBank genome assembly. NCBI's taxonomy places the organism in Eukaryota, Fungi, Ascomycota, Eurotiomycetes, Eurotiales, Trichocomaceae.